GUAGGUCAGUUUUACUUGGGGAAAAAUUGGUAAAAUGAAUCCUGAAUGUUUUGAACAGCAAAAAUAUCAGUUUAAAAAAUGGUUAAAUCUUAACAACAAGUCAAACAGCUCUGUUUUAUCAGAAUGUGAAUAUACUUCCAUUAUCGAAUAUUUGAAAGAUAAAAAUGAUGGAAAAAUUGGAUAUAUUACUUCACGGAAUAUUCAACAAAGAAUCAAGUCAAACAAGUUUAAACUAAUUGAUUACCCACCCUUAGGUUUAAAAGAUAUUUUAUGUGCUCCAACUAAAUGUAAUACAGAGAAUAAUUUGCGAGAAUCAUCGCCAUUUGGAAACUACAGUCGUGUAGCGAGUACUAAAGAUGUUUUUUCUGCUAUUAAUAUUGCACAUUGCCAGAAUGGUCUGCAUCUUGGGGCUUUAAAAACUUAUAAGAAGAUUAUUGAGGGUUAUGCAAACAUUGCAAGAAAAACUGUUGAAAUUUUUAUCAGUUUCUGCCCAACUUGCAAUUUAAAUAAAUGGCAGUUAAAAAAAGCACUAUUACAACCAAUAAUUUCUACUGGUUUUUUGCAACGUCUUUAAAUUGAUUUGAUUGCAAUGGAAUCUAAGCCAGAUAAGAAAUUCAGAUAUAUUGGUCAUGUUGUUGAUCAUUUCAGUAAGUUUCAUAUUUUGUUUCCUAUGAGAAAUAGAAUAGCUUUAGAAACAGCAAAUAAUCUUAAAAGGUUUGUGCUGAGUUACUUUGGUUUACCAGCAAUUUUGCAUAGUGACAACGGUAGUGAAUUUGUAAAUGAUGUUAUAAAAUCACUUUUGUUAACAUGGCCUGGGAAAACCCAAAUUGUAAAUGGUUCACCAAGACACUCUCAAAGUUAAGGUUUAGUUGAACAGGGCAACUUUACCAUAGAGCGAUUAAUAUCUUCUCGUGAAUAUGAUUCUGGUCAAAGUAACAGGUCAGAAUGGUUGGUUGAAAUUCAAUAUGUUAUGAAUACUACAUAUGUAAGGAGCAUAAAAACGACACCUUAUGAGAUUGUGUUUGGCCAAAAACCAAAUGGACAAUUCCCUUUAGAGGGUAAAGUAGUAAAUGAAGGUGAUGUUGCAAACAUAAUUAAGAAUCCUAAUAAAGGUAAAUUUAAAGAUGAGUUAAAUGUCAAUCCUAUUUCAGUGAGGUAAAUGUCAAUCCUAUUAAAAAAUCAUUUUUUGCAAUAUAGCAGGAUGAACAUAAAUUUCUUUUUUUUUUAUCUUUUUUUGUCAUUUGUGUCACAAAAUUGUUGAUUUUAUAAUAAAAAACCUGGAUUACUUUCUUCAUUUUUAUUCAUUAAUCAAAUAAGUUAUUUGAAAUUCCAUUUUGUGUGUGUGUGCAAGUUUCUUUUAUAAAAUAUUGGAUGGUUUAUUCAUUUUGACUAUAAAUAUCUGAAAUUUUUGUUAUUGACUAGAUGUUGCUGAUGGUAGGACAACUGACACUCCAGAAUGCAGCAGAACUUACAAAAGCAUUGCAAAAGCGAAAUGUGAUGGAGGUAGUAACACUGCAGAAUGCAGUGGAACUUCAAGUGAUAUUGAAGUGAUAACACUUUCACUGACAGAGAAGACUGUGGUAUUGUUGACUUUUCGUACCACCAUGAGUCUGAAGAAGAUACUAAAGAUAGGAUGAAGAUAACUUGUCUAAUUCGCAAGAACCUUUGCCAUGAAACAGCAAGUAAUCUUGAAAAAAAUGCAAAAUUCAUGGUUAAAAAGUAUAAUAAACAAAAAAAAUUUAAAGUUGCAGUUUUCAAAGAAGGUGAUCAUGUCAGUGUGGCUAUACCAAAAUCAUUGCGUAACUCUACAGAUAUGCUGCGUUUGCCAUGUGUUGUUCUUCAUAAGUCGUUUGGGGAAAAUCCAACCUAUAAGUUGGUGACAUCACAUGGAGUUCUUGAAAAAAGAUUUAAUGCCACUAACUUAAUGCCAUACAGCAGUAUUGUCAAAGUUAAAAGUGAUGCCAAUGUUAGCUUAAGUGAGGCCGUCUUAAAUGAAAUCACUAGUAAAGUAGUCUUUUGUCGAUGUAAAAAAGCCAAACCAAGCACUGUCGAUGCUUUGAAAAUGGAACACCAUGUGUCUCAUGAUGUCAUAAAGGAAAAACAAAAAAUUGCAAAAACAACAACCCCCAUUUUUCUGUACAGAGUGAAAGGAAUGAUGAUAGUUUAACUGAAUCAGUAGAUACUCAAAUGGCAAUAAUUUCCACAAUCAAUGAGCCAAAGUUAUUAGAGUUUAAUCGCAACAAUAUAAAUGAAGGCGAAGAUUCAGGCAAUUCCCAAGAUGUAGUGGCAUUUAAAAGAGAUGAAGUUUCAAAUGUGCAAAUUUCAAAUACGACGGAAUUGUCCAUUACAUUUGAAGAAAAAGACAUAUUUCUGGACCACUUUAAAAAAAUGCUUCAAAAUGGUGAUAUUACUCAUUAUCUAGCUUCAGACGAUGCCAUCGAAGACGCGUGAGGUUUUCCAUUUGCAUAUGGUGACAUUACACGUCAAGAUAAGAUGAUAGAUAUCCACAUUGAUGUCGGCGAUGAGUUGGUUUCGUUAAUAAUUAGUGUUUAUAAGCAUUUGAAGUUAAAUACAGUAAUUGCCCUUCAACAAUAUGCUGCAAGAAAAUACAAUUUAAACAAAAUGGUUUAAUGUGAUAAACUUUCAAUUAAACAAUUUAAUAUUGCUUUAACUUGAUGAUUGCUCAAGUUUAUAAAAGUUUUUUAAUCUGCAUUCUUUUGAAUUUUACUAAACUUGUUAAAAUGUUAUCUGUUUUCACAUAAUAUUAUGUUUCCAAAUGAAUACUUUAA
Hydra vulgaris (swiftwater hydra) is the source of this 2789-nucleotide non-coding RNA. NCBI's taxonomy places the organism in Eukaryota, Metazoa, Cnidaria, Hydrozoa, Anthoathecata, Hydridae. The record is from RefSeq and is a predicted model, not a curated record.